Long non-coding RNA from Pogoniulus pusillus (Red-fronted tinkerbird), 1263 nucleotides. RefSeq lists it as uncharacterized. The record is from RefSeq and is a predicted model, not a curated record. The transcript is spliced from 4 exons. NCBI's taxonomy places the organism in Eukaryota, Metazoa, Chordata, Aves, Piciformes, Lybiidae.
CCCUCAUUAGCGUAACCCGCCCUUAAUUACCGGGGCUGGGGAAACGGUUUGGUGCAAGGGCUGAGCUCCCCCAGCUGCCUCUGCUGCCUUCAGUCUCUUACCAGGAGACAGGAAAGGGAGGGGAGCCAAGGCAGAGGCUGCAGGGGACUGGCACCGAGCGAGGCUCAGGGCUGGCACUCUCCUGGCAGCAGCAGAUGAGAGCAGUGCUGAGCCCGGGCCCUUUUCUGGCUCCUCUCCCUGCCAGCCCACGGCUGCUCUGAAACACCUGUCUCUUGUGUAUGGAGAAGGAAUGGUGUGUGUGCCCUCCUGUGCUGGCUUUGCUGCCAUCCUCAGCAUCCUCCACUGGAAGGUCAGGAGUGCUGUGCUCUGCCCAGAGUGCAGCUUGUCUGAUCUGAACAGACCAGUGAUCUCCUCAGCUGUGCUCCUGAGAGGGAAGUUCUUCAUUAUCCACAGAGAAGUUUUCUUGUAAUCAUGGUUCUGCUGUUUCUUCAGGUGCCUGAAUCUGUGUGCUCCCACUUGUAUUUUGUUCACAGCAACCUUAACAUCUUUCUUGUAGCUCUUUGGGAUGUGCAGGCAGCAGUGCAUGCAGUGAGAUGUGUGCAAGCUGCUGCAGCAAGACAAGACCAGCAGCAGUGCUAAGAAGGAAUGCAGUGAGCAGUGCUGCCAGGCUUUUCUCUUUGAGGGUACCAACCUCCUUCCCAUGCCAAACCCAAUUGUCACCAAAUAUCGCUGCCCCAUAAGUGCCAGCAGCAGCUCUCUGGGCUGCCUAAGGAAGUGGCUGUGUCCAGUUAUGCCUGCUGAGGUGGAGACCUGCAUAGCAACGAGGGAAAAGGAUUCAAAAGCCUUUUGGAUAAUGAGUGGCUGCAGGUGAUUGCAUAAAUACUGUGUGCUGCUGAUACUGGACAGGAUGAAGUCUUUGAAUCAUAUAGACAGAGUUGGCUUUUGAACUUGUAGCCCCUUGGAUUUAUUGGCUGCUGCCUCAGGAGUUUCUGUCUGGUUUAAAAUCAUGUCUGAAUUAUGUUUCUUCUAGCAGUUAUUUCAUGGCUUAGCUGUUCUGUGACUCUGUGUUUCCUUUCACUUACUGCUUAUCUUAAUCACUCUUAACUUUGCAAGUCUCCAUUUUGACUUCAUUUUCAAUAAACCUGUGCCUGUGUAAUAAAACCUCCCCAAAAGUGGCAAUUCUUAGCCAAGAGCUAAGCCAGCUCAGCUGUGCUUGUUUGCAAUGAAACUGCAAGCUCAUUAAACCAUAACAUUCAUUUACUU